UACGUAGGGUCCAAGCGUUAUCCGGAAUCACUGGGCGUAAAGCGUGCGUAGGUGGAUGUUUAAGUGUGAUGUUAAAUCGUGGGGCUCAACCCUGUCGAUGCAUCGCAUACUGGACGUCUAGAGGACAGCAGAGGCAAGUGGAAUUAGCAGUGUAGCAGUGAAAUGCGUAGAUAUUGCUAGGAACACCAAUGGCGAAGGCAGCUUGCUGGGCUACUCCUGACACUGAUGUACGAAAGCGUGGGGAGCGAACAGG
RNAcentral lists this ribosomal RNA (253 nucleotides) under uncultured bacterium. Its description in RNAcentral is "partial 16S ribosomal RNA". It matches the Rfam family "Bacterial small subunit ribosomal RNA", at positions 524 to 776 of the family's 1533-position model. The record is from RNAcentral.